AGUGAACGCUGGCGGUAGGCCUAACACAUGCAAGUCGAACGGCAGCACAGUAAGAGCUUGCUCUUACGGGUGGCGAGUGGCGGACGGGUGAGGAAUACAUCGGAUUCUACUUUUUCGUGGGGGAUAACGUAGGGAAACUUACGCUAAUACCGCAUACGACCUACGGGUGAAAGCAGGGGAUCUUCGGACCUUGCGCGAUUGAAUGAGCCGAUGUCGGAUUAGCUAGUUGGCGGGGUAAAGGCCCACCAAGGCGACGAUCCGUAGCUGGUCUGAGAGGAUGAUCGGCCACACUGGAACUGAGACACGGUCCGGACUCCUACGGGGGGCAGCAGUGGGGAAUAUUGGACAAGGGGGGCAAGCCUGAUCCAGCCAUACCGCGGGGGUGAAGAAGGCCUUCGGGUUGUAAAGCCCUUUUGUUGGGAAAGAAAAGCAGCAGGUUAAUACCCCGCUGUUCUGACGGUACCCAAAGAAUAAGCACCGGCUAACUUCGU
Molecule: ribosomal RNA, 491 nt
Filed under: uncultured bacterium
Lineage: Bacteria
Description: partial 16S ribosomal RNA
Rfam family: Bacterial small subunit ribosomal RNA
Source: RNAcentral